UACAGAGGUCCCAAGCGUUGUUCGGAUUCACUGGGCGUAAAGGGUGCGUAGGUGGUCGGGUAAGUCUGAUGUGAAAUCUCUGGGCUCAACCCAGAAAUGGCAUUGGAUACUAUCCGGCUUGAGGAGUGGAGGGGGAACUGGAAUACUUGGUGUAGCAGUGAAAUGCGUAGAUAUCAAGUGGAACACCAGUGGCGAAGGCGGGUCCCUGGGCCGAUACUGACGCUGAGGAGCGAAAGCGUGGGGAGCGAACAGG
RNAcentral lists this ribosomal RNA (253 nucleotides) under uncultured bacterium. RNAcentral's name for it is "partial 16S ribosomal RNA". It matches the Rfam family "Bacterial small subunit ribosomal RNA", at positions 524 to 776 of the family's 1533-position model. The record is from RNAcentral.